UUUAUCGGAGAGUUUGAUCCUGGCUCAGGACGAACGCUGGCGGCGUGCCUAAUACAUGCAAGUCGAGCGGACUUGAUGGGAGCUUGCUUCUAUCAAGUUAGCGGCGGACGGGUGAGUAACACGUGGGUAACCUGCCUGUAAGACUGGGAUAACUCCGGGAAACCGGGGCUAAUACCGGAUAACUUCUUUCUCCGCAUGGAGAAAGAUUGAA
This 211-nucleotide ribosomal RNA is filed under the name Bacillaceae bacterium SAOS 7. RNAcentral describes it as "partial 16S ribosomal RNA". It matches the Rfam family "Bacterial small subunit ribosomal RNA", at positions 1 to 205 of the family's 1533-position model. Lineage: Bacteria; Bacillati; Bacillota; Bacilli; Caryophanales; Bacillaceae. The record is from RNAcentral.